AUGAGGAAGAUUGAACUGGGAACGCUGCACAAUUCCAAAAGGAACAAUGCAGCCUACGUCAUUGGUCAUCUCACCCAGUGUCCUCCGAGAAAAGACAAAACUGUCAGUUCCCCACUCUCCCUAAGAAAUGCCUACCAGUUCCUGUGUCAUCAGCGCUUAAAGGCAGCUGACUGGCCUGGGGGUCAAAUCAAACGCCUUAAGACUCCAGGGAGGAAGUACUUGCUUCUGAGACAAGCGUUUAGAAAGUUUCUUCCACUCUUUGACCGAGUGUUGGUUGAAAGGAGUGCUGCUGAAACUGUAACCAAAGGAGGCAUUAUGCUUCCAGAAAAAUCUCAAGGAAAAGUAUUGCAAGCAACAGUAGUCGCUGUUGGAUCGGGUUCUAAAGGAAAGGGUGGAGAGAUUCAACCGGUUAACGUGAAAGUUGGAGAUAAAGUUCUUCUGCCAGAGUAUGGAGGCACCAAAGUAGUUCUAGAUGACAAGGAUUAUUUCCUAUUUAGAGAUGGUGACAUUCUUGGAAAGUACCUAGACUGAGAUAAAUCACUAUUGAAAUGGCAUCAACAUGAAGCUGCCCAUUCCACUGAAGUUCUGAAAUCUUUCAUCAUGUAAAUAAUUUCCAUAGUUCUCUUUUAUAAUAAACUAAUGA
RNA transcript from Mandrillus leucophaeus (drill), 643 nucleotides. It is a transcript of the gene named 10 kDa heat shock protein, mitochondrial pseudogene, with no coding region annotated. The transcript is spliced from 3 exons. NCBI's taxonomy places the organism in Eukaryota, Metazoa, Chordata, Mammalia, Primates, Cercopithecidae. The record is from RefSeq and is a predicted model, not a curated record.